RNAcentral lists this RNase P RNA (410 nucleotides) under Thalassorhabdomicrobium marinisediminis. RNAcentral describes it as "Bacterial RNase P class A". It matches the Rfam family "Bacterial RNase P class A". From Rfam's summary of the family: Ribonuclease P (RNase P) is a ubiquitous endoribonuclease, found in archaea, bacteria and eukarya as well as chloroplasts and mitochondria. Its best characterised activity is the generation of mature 5'-ends of tRNAs by cleaving the 5'-leader elements of precursor-tRNAs. The record is from Rfam by way of RNAcentral. Lineage: Bacteria; Pseudomonadati; Pseudomonadota; Alphaproteobacteria; Rhodobacterales; Paracoccaceae.
GCGGAGGAUUGGAUGGCCGCGGGCGGGGCAACCCGUUCGAGGAAAGUCCGGACUCCAUCAAGACACGGUGCCGGGUAACGCCCGGGCAGGGCAACCUGACGGAGAGCGCCACAGAGAACAGACCGCCUGUCACACCAGAGGUUCGCCGAUGGAAACCUGUGGCAGGUCAGGGUGAAACGGUGGGGUAAGAGCCCACCGCGGCGGUGGCAACAUCGCUGGCAUGGCAAGCCCCACCGGGAGCAAUGCCAAAUAGGGGCCGCGCGUGGGCAACCACAGGAUCGUCUUGAUCCGAGCAGGUCCGGGUUGGCAGCUAGAGGGCGGCAGGCAACUGUCGCCUAAGAUGAAUGGUCAUCGAAUUGCGGGUUACGGCUCACAAGGAACAAAAUCCGGCUUAUAGAUCCUCCGCGUUU